UGAACGCUGGCGGCGUGCCUAAUACAUGCAAGUCGAGCGAACGGACGAGAAGCUUGCUUCUCUGAUGUUAGCGGCGGACGGGUGAGUAACACGUGGAUAACCUACCUAUAAGACUGGGAUAACUUCGGGAAACCGGAGCUAAUACCGGAUGAUAUUUUGAACCGCAUGGUUCAAAAGUGAAAGACGGUCUUGCUGUCACUUAUAGAUGGAUCCGCGCUGCAUUAGCUAGUUGGUAAGGUAACGGCUUACCAAGGCAACGAUGCAUAGCCGACCUGAGAGGGGGAGUCGCCAAAAGGGGAACGAAAACCGGGCCAGAACCCCUAGGGGGGGCGGAGGUGGGAAUCUUCCGAAAGGGGGCAAAGCCUGAACGGGACAACGCGGGGGGGGGAAGAAGGGUCUUGGAAUCGAAAAACUUUUUUAUAGGGAAAAAACAUUUGUGUAGGAAAUUGUGCACAUCUGGAGGGUACAUAAUAAGAAACCCAGGGCAAACUACGGC
RNAcentral lists this ribosomal RNA (496 nucleotides) under uncultured bacterium. RNAcentral's name for it is "partial 16S ribosomal RNA". It matches the Rfam family "Bacterial small subunit ribosomal RNA", at positions 30 to 508 of the family's 1533-position model. The record is from RNAcentral.